CCUACGGGUGGCAGCAGUGGGGAAUAUUGGACAAUGGGCGAAAGCCUGAUCCAGCCAUGCCGCGUGUGUGAAGAAGGCCUUCGGGUUGUAAAGCACUUUCAGUGGGGAAGAAAGCCUUGGGGCUAAUACCCUCGAGGAAGGACAUCACCCACAGAAGAAGCACCGGCUAACUCCGUGCCAGCAGCCGCGGUAAUACGGAGGGUGCGAGCGUUAAUCGGAAUUACUGGGCGUAAAGCGCGCGUAGGCGGUCUGAUAAGCCGGUUGUGAAAGCCCCGGGCUCAACCUGGGAACGGCAUCCGGAACGGUCAGGCUAGAGUGCAGGAGAGGAAGGUAGAAUUCCCGGUGUAGCGGUGAAAUGCGUAGAGAUCGGGAGGAAUACCAGUGGCGAAGGCGGCCUUCUGGACUGACACUGACGCUGAGGUGCGAAAGCGUGGGUAGCAAACAGGAUUAGAUACCCGAGUAGUC
Molecule: ribosomal RNA, 465 nt
Filed under: Vreelandella stevensii
Lineage: Bacteria; Pseudomonadati; Pseudomonadota; Gammaproteobacteria; Oceanospirillales; Halomonadaceae
Description: partial 16S ribosomal RNA
Rfam family: Bacterial small subunit ribosomal RNA
Source: RNAcentral